GGGGUGAUAGCUCAGUUGGUAGAGCGCACGCUUCGCAGGAGUGACUGCGUGAGGCCCAGGGUUCGACUCCCUGUUACUCCA
Non-coding RNA from Cantharellus anzutake, 81 nucleotides. The record is from the annotation of a RefSeq genome assembly. NCBI's taxonomy places the organism in Eukaryota, Fungi, Basidiomycota, Agaricomycetes, Cantharellales, Hydnaceae.